CCUACGGGGGGCAGCAGUAGGGAAUCUUCGGCAAUGGACGAAAGUCUGACCGAGCAACGCCGCGUGAGUGACGAAGGUUUUCGGAUCGUACAACUCUGUUGGUAGAGAAGAACGUUGGUGAGAGUGGAAAGCUCAUCAAGUGACGGUAACUACCCAGACAGUGACGGCUAACUACGUGCCAGCAGCCGCGGUAAUACGUAGGUCCCGAGCGUGGUCCGGAUUUAGUGGGCGUAAAGCGGGCGCAGGUGGUUUAUUAAGUUUGGUGUAAAAGGCAGGGGCUCAACCAUUGUAUGCAUUGGAAACUGGUAGACGGGAGGGCAGGAGAGGAGAGUGGAAGUCCAGGUGUAGCGGUGAAAUGCGUAGAUAUAUGGAGGAACACCGGUGGCGAAAGCGGCUCUCUGGCCUGUAACUGACACUGAGGCUCGAAAGCGGGGGGAGCAAACAGGAUGAGAUACCCGAGUAGUC
This 465-nucleotide ribosomal RNA is filed under the name uncultured bacterium. RNAcentral's name for it is "partial 16S ribosomal RNA". It matches the Rfam family "Bacterial small subunit ribosomal RNA", at positions 338 to 795 of the family's 1533-position model. The record is from RNAcentral.